GAUGAACGCUAGCUACAGGCUUAACACAUGCAAGUCGAGGGGUAACGAGAGAAAAGCUUGCUUUCCUUGUCGACGACCGGCGCACGGGUGAGUAACGCGUAUCCAACCUGCCCCCAACUAGGGAAUAACCUUGCGAAAGUAAGACUAAUACCCUAUAAUUUCCUCAGAUGACAUCUGACGAGGAAUAAAGAUUUAUCGGUUGUGGAUGGGGAUGCGUCUGAUUAGCUUGUUGGCGGGGUAACGGCCCACCCAGGCAACGAUCAGUAGGGGUUCUGAGAGGAAGGUCCCCCACAUUGGAACUGAGACACGGUCCAAACUCCAACGGGAGGCAGCAGUGGGGAAUAUUGCACAAUGGGCGCAAGCCUGAUGCAGCCAUGACGCGUGUAUGAAGAAGGCCUUCGGGUUGUAAAGUACUUUCAGCGGGGAGGAAGGCGGUGAAGUUAAUAACUUCACCGAUUGACGUUACCCGCAGAAGAAGCACCGGCUAACUCCGUGCCAGCCGCCGCGGUAA
This 511-nucleotide ribosomal RNA is filed under the name uncultured bacterium. Its description in RNAcentral is "partial 16S ribosomal RNA". It matches the Rfam family "Bacterial small subunit ribosomal RNA", at positions 28 to 523 of the family's 1533-position model. The record is from RNAcentral.